CGGAGGGUGCAAGCGUUAUCCGGAUUCACUGGGUUUAAAGGGUGCGUAGGUGGGCAAGUAAGUCAGUGGUGAAAUCUCCGGGCUUAACCCGGAAACUGCCAUUGAUACUAUUUGUCUUGAAUACUGUGGAGGUCAGCGGAAUAUGUCAUGUAGCGGUGAAAUGCUUAGGUAUGACAUAGAACACCAAUUGCGAAGGCAGCUGGCUACACAAAUAUUGACACUGAGGCACGAAAGCGUGGGGAUCAAACAGGAUUAGAUACCCUGGUAGUCCACGCCUAAACUAUGGAUACUCGACAUUUGCGAUAAACUGCAAGUGUCUGAGCGAAAGCAUUAAGUAUCCCACCUGGGAAGUACGAUCGCAAGAUUG
Molecule: ribosomal RNA, 367 nt
Filed under: uncultured organism
Description: bacterial SSU rRNA
Rfam family: Bacterial small subunit ribosomal RNA
Source: RNAcentral